Molecule: unclassified non-coding RNA, 444 nt
Filed under: Chamaecrista desvauxii var. pirebebuiensis
Lineage: Eukaryota; Viridiplantae; Streptophyta; Magnoliopsida; Fabales; Fabaceae
Description: partial external transcribed spacer
Source: RNAcentral
CUCCGUGCUUGCGCAUCGAACGGUUGACACGCUAUCCAGCCCCAGACCCGUGACCCCCCGAGCUGCAAGGCCCGAGGGGAGUGAGUGCCUCCAGUCGUUGUGCUUGCGUUGGAUACCCGUCCGUCCCCCUUCCUUCGAAGAAGGGGGAAGGAUCGGCCCGACAUCGUCCCACGUCCGUCCGACGCCUCGCGAGGGGCUUCUCGGAGGACCAAGAAGCGGCUCCCGCGAUCCGCUCGCGCCGGCACGAUCGGCGAGUUUGGCUCGUGGGACGUCGUUGCUCUCUCGGAUGCGGUGCAUGCCGAGGACUACCGGGGCCUCGGUCCCAGCCCGUCCCGAACGAACGAUUCGAUUAGAUUCUCCUGAGAGACGCUCGCGUCGUCCGACGCCCGCGAGGGCCGGCGCGCGAGAUCUCGCGGAGGGUUGCUACCUGGUUGAUCCUGCCAG